CGGUUCAGUUCAGUUCGAGAUAUUUCUGUUCUAUUUUCAUCCAUAAUCAUCAGUUAGUAUUAUCCGAGUUAGUUUAUUUUUUUAAUCUCGUCAGAGAUUGUUUAGUGGUGUGAUAAGAAGAAAGGGCCCUUUUUUUCUAUUUUUUCUGCGUGUUAAGUGGUGAGAAGAGAUUUGCAGACACUGACCGAUGCUGAACAAUCGAUGACUCGUCCUACUGUGCAACGGUUAGUUGUACUGAAUGCUAUCAAAAGAUGGUAUAGUGUGCAACGGUUAGUUGCAUUAAGAGCCUUGUUUAAUUCUUCGCUUCUGGAUUGGAUCUGAGGGAUGAUUGAGUUGUCGCCAAAGAGAUUGGGUUCACGUACACCCUAGACUGAAAUACUGAUUCAGCACGUGCACUUGGUCGAUUUUCAGGCGUUGCGUAACAACAAUCUGCAUCACACGUUGCCCAUAUAUGAGGAGUUGCUUGGAUCAUGUGGCUGGCUGUGCGUUUAUUUGAAAGCGACAGGAACCUGCCAAAAGUAGCUAGAGAGAGGCUACAAAGUCAAACAAUCAUUUGAGAUGUGGAUCCAUCCAUCUCGCGGCCACAGUGCAUGGGAGAUCGUCAGAAUGCUGCUGGUCAUGCAUUUGCAUGCCGACACGGCAAUGCAGCAGGCCAGCAGAGCUCAUGAGUGCGAUCUGAUAGUGUUUAGGGUAGCUCUCUACUAACAGUAUCCAAACAUGACGCAUGGUUAGGCUCUGUUUAGAUUGCUGAUGAAAUUUUUUUAGGUGUCACAUCGGAUAUGUCAGAAAGAUGUCGGGAGGGGUUUUU
Molecule: long non-coding RNA, 808 nt
Filed under: Sorghum bicolor (sorghum)
Lineage: Eukaryota; Viridiplantae; Streptophyta; Magnoliopsida; Poales; Poaceae
Description: long non-coding RNA (SBIC_LNC007708)
Source: RNAcentral